RNAcentral lists this long non-coding RNA (1417 nucleotides) under Ananas comosus (pineapple). RNAcentral describes it as "long non-coding RNA (ACOM_LNC011210)". Lineage: Eukaryota; Viridiplantae; Streptophyta; Magnoliopsida; Poales; Bromeliaceae. The record is from RNAcentral.
AUGGAGGUGUUUGGCCAAGCUUUUAAAAAGCACUUUUUGAUUGAAAAGUGAUUUUCGGUCCAAUAGAGCGUUUGAAUCUCAUUUUUAAAAUCUGAUUCUGCUUCUUAGAAUCAGAAAAUUGAUUUUGAAGGCCCCAUAAUCAGAAACAGAAAAAAGCUGCUUCUUGAAAAUCUGAUUUUGAACUCAAAUUUCAAAUUUUUAUUUUCAUUUUAAAUUCAAUGUUUAAAUUUAAUUUUAAUUUUAAUUUUUAAUUUUUAGAUUCAUUUUUGAAUUUUUAAAUUUUAACUUUUUAAAUUUAAAAUUUGAAAAAUAGAUUUCAAACUAUAAAUUUUAAAUUUUAAUUUUAAAUUUCAAAUCUCAAAUUUUAGAUUUUAAAAUUUAAAAUUUUAAAUUUCAAAUUUCAAAUUUUAAAUUCAAGAUGAAAUUUAAAAUUUGGCAUUUUAGAUUUUAAAAUUUAAAUUUAAAAUUUUAAAAAUUUUAAAUGUUAAAUUACAAGUUUUAAUCUUCAAAUUAUAAAAUUUUAAAAAUUAAAUUUUAAAUUUUUAAAAUUUAAAUUCUAAAUAUUCAAUUUUAAAUUUUAAAUUUUGAAUUUUGAAUUUUAAAUAUUCUAAUUUUAAAUUUCAUUAUUAUUUAAAAUUUUAAAUUUUAAAUUUUAAAUUAAAAGUUUUAAUCUUCAAAUUAUAAAUUUUUAAAAUUUAAAAUUUAAAUUUUUAAAUUUCAAAAUUUAAAAUUUAAAUUUUAAAUAUUCAAAUUUUAAAUUUUAAAUUUUAAAUUUCAUAAUUAUUUUAAAUUUUAAAUUUUAAAUCUUUAAAUUAUUUUUUAAAUUUAAAUUUUAAAUUUUACAUUUUGUACAAUUUUAAAUUUAAAANUUUAUGCAAACAUCAAAAAACUUUUGCCAAACAGUUUUUCAAAAUCACUUCAAAAAAAUUACUUUUAUCUAAACUCAGCCAAACGUUUUACAAUUUUUAACUAAAAUUACAUCUCCAAACCAAAAUCACUUUUUCAAAAAUUAUUUUUUUAAAAGGUAGGCCAAACAGGCCCUAUAAAAUGGUAAUAUCGGGCUGCAACCAGAAGUUGAAAAGUUGAAGAUCUAAAGCCAGUAAUAAAGGACAGAACUGGCGGGCCUCCCAGCGCUGGUUGAUUAAUGGGCGGCGGACUUUGUUUGCUUUUCCCUGUCAGAAGUGGUGCAUCAAGAUUUCAAGAUUGAGGUAUUCAUUACGAGAGGAGAAGGAAGUUUACUGUGUCAUACGUACACCACAUCAUCAAUAAUAAAUUAAUCAUAUUUCUCCAUUUCAAAAAAAAGUACAAUAAUAAAUUUUUUUUAUAAUUAUGAUGUAACGGAUAAUUCUAAAAGAAGCAACUUGAUUGGUGGAAAACACCCCAUCAGCAAUGUAACCGAUCAUUCUAAAAUCUUUCA